This 544-nucleotide ribosomal RNA is filed under the name uncultured bacterium. RNAcentral's name for it is "bacterial SSU rRNA". It matches the Rfam family "Bacterial small subunit ribosomal RNA", at positions 1 to 524 of the family's 1533-position model. The record is from RNAcentral.
UAGAGUUUGAUCCUGGCUCAGAACGAACGCUGGCGGCGUGGAUAAGACAUGCAAGUGGGACGCUAAUUAAUGGGUAGCAAUAUUCGUUGGUUGGAGUCGCGUAAGGGUGCGUAACACGUGGGUAAUUUGCCGCGAAGCUCGGAAUAACUUGCCGAAAGGUAAGCUAAUACCGAAUGUGACUUGUGCUGGGCAUCCAGUAUCAGUCAAAGCCGGGGAUCGUAAGACCUGGCACUUUGCGAUAAGCCCGCGGCCUAUCAGCUAGUUGGUGAGGUAAUGGCUCACCAAGGCUUAGACGGGUAGCUGGUCUUAGAGGACGACCAGCCACACUGGAACUGAGACACGGUCCAGACACCUACGGGUGGCAGCAGUCGAGAAUUUUUCACAAUGGGCGGAAGCCUGAUGGAGCGACGCCGCGUGGGGGAUGAAUGGCUUCGGCCCGUAAACCCCUGUCAUUCGGGAUCAAAUCUGACAGCCUAACACGUUGUUAGUUGAUAGUACUGAAAGAGGAAGGGACGGCUAACUCUGUGCCAGCAGCCCCGGUCAA